AGCUUUAUGCAAAUACUUAUAAAGUUGAUUUUGCCCAAUGGAAAAUCUUAAUGGCCGCAGUACCUUGACUGUGCUAAGGUAGCAUAAUAAUUUGGCUUUUAAUUGAAGUCGAGAAUGAAAGAGUGAAUGGGGGGAUACUGUUUCUUAUGUUUAAUUUUAAUUUACUUAAAAGGUGAAAAUACCUUUAUACAGAAAAAAGACGAGAAGACCCUUAGAGUUUUUAUAAUAAAUAUAAUAAAUAUAUUUUUUUUUUGUUGGGGUGACAGGCUAGCAAUAAAAUAACCUAGUUUAUAUAAACAAAUGAUUUAGUUAUAAGAUAAAACUACCUAAGGGAUAACAGCAUAAUUUAAAAAAUAAAAUUGUGACCUCGAUGUUGGACUAGGAUCCUUAUAAUUAGUAAUUUAAAAGGUUAGUUCUGUUCGAACUUUAUCUCCU
Molecule: ribosomal RNA, 435 nt
Filed under: Streptostele kilimanjaroensis
Lineage: Eukaryota; Metazoa; Mollusca; Gastropoda; Stylommatophora; Streptaxidae
Description: partial 16S ribosomal RNA
Rfam family: Bacterial large subunit ribosomal RNA
Source: RNAcentral